Molecule: long non-coding RNA, 1005 nt
Filed under: Dermacentor andersoni
Lineage: Eukaryota; Metazoa; Arthropoda; Arachnida; Ixodida; Ixodidae
Description: uncharacterized LOC126530537
Source: RNAcentral
UAAGAAUGACGAUAACAUAAAGCAAAUAGAUUGAAAACACAUCAAGGCCUCGCCCUCCAUCUGCAGAACCAGUUGAGGCAAGGUUGCACGCAAUAUCAUUAUUUUCGCAUUUUAAUUAAAGCAGCAAUAUCUACCAGAAUAGCGCAAAUAGAAAGAAAGAACUAUUGAGAACAACAGCCCCUUCGCUCUUCACCGGGAAGCUAUUGAGGCCGCACAGCUAGGCGUGAAGGAGGAGAGACAGCACACAAGGCGAACGCGUCCUUGGACGAGGCAGCUGCCAAGUGGUAGCGCUGCCACGUGCGCUUGCGUCGGCACACUACACGUUCUGACAAGACAAAGUGGCACUCAUGAAUGUCUUAUUGACGUCGCUGCGGUACCAAAUGUCAACUCAUUUAUGGGGCACAUCGAGCGAAACGCAGUGACAUAUUAAGGAAGACCAGUUUAACUUCAACGCGGAAAGGCCCGCAUGUCACAGAGGUCCCCUCGCCAGACCUUGGGCGGGGAAGACGACGCGGGCAGGGCACGUGGCCAAGGCGCGGCCGCCUAUAAAAGGACGCGACCAGCGGUUGUUUGGCGCUUAACUGCAGUCGCUGACCAGAAGGACCAGAGACAACGUUCCAGGCCGCCAUGAAAUUCUUCCUGCUCAUCGCCAUCCUAGUUGUGGGCCUGCUGUGCGUCCAGGCGCAGUAUGGGCGCGGCUACGGAGGAGGACGCGGCUACGGAGGAGGGCGCGGCUACGGAGGAGGACGCGGCUACGGAGGAGGGCGCGGCUACGGAGGAGGAUUCGGCCGUGGUUACGGAGGCGGCUAUGGACGUGGAUAGGGACGCUGAUUCCACGGGUGACCACCGAAUUCGACUGCGCACAUUGGAAAGGCAUUGGUGACUGUGGAUAACGACAAGGCUGCGCACCUCAUGGAUCUGAAAGUUUCGAACAAAGGAUAUUCGACAUUCAUCUGGGUGUACGUUCCAAUACAAAGCCCAUAAUAAAUGAGUACGCAGACAAAA